AAGUCGUAACAAGGUAACCGUAGGUGAACCUGCGGUUGGAUCAUUAACAAUUUGGACGCAUGGGACAAGGGGUGUGAUCCUGCGCAACAGAUGCGCUUCGGCGCCAUCUGCAGUUGCAUCUCCCCUCGUCGCAUCGCGCCCGGCUCACCAACCCCAAGUCAGUGAAUUCUUCACUGGAUUGGGGCGGAACGUGGGGGACCCAUUUGUGAACUGUACUGUCUCUGGCGGUGGGGCACUUCAAAAGUGAACUUCACUCUCGAAGGUGUCUGUCAGUUGGCUGGGCGUCUUAAAAAGCCCUCCGGCCGUGGACAAGCCGCCAACCACUCUUGUGAGUAACGCUUAGCUACAUUGUUUUGGCUAAAAUCCACCUGUAUAUAAAUGGGUUGGACAACUUUUGGCAACGGAUCUCUUGGCUCUC
RNAcentral lists this unclassified non-coding RNA (418 nucleotides) under Spizellomyces sp. RNAcentral's name for it is "partial internal transcribed spacer region". The stretch from base 1 to 46 matches the Rfam family "Eukaryotic small subunit ribosomal RNA", at positions 1786 to 1831 of the family's 1831-position model. Lineage: Eukaryota; Fungi; Chytridiomycota; Chytridiomycetes; Spizellomycetales; Spizellomycetaceae. The record is from RNAcentral.